This 407-nucleotide unclassified non-coding RNA is filed under the name Paspalum petrense. RNAcentral describes it as "partial external transcribed spacer". Lineage: Eukaryota; Viridiplantae; Streptophyta; Magnoliopsida; Poales; Poaceae. The record is from RNAcentral.
CGAGCGCAUGAGUUGUGUUGGACCUGUGACUACCGGGAGGACCCCCGCUGUUGUGCGGCCGACUGCCGGUGCCAGUGUCCCUUCAAUCGUUGGCUAUUGUGUGCCUAUUGUUUUGGCGAGUGCUUGCGUGCUGCUACCAGUUACACUGGAAGUUGCAUUGCUAAAUGUUGUUUUGUCGUGCACGCCCUUAGGGCAUGACACGUCAACUACGAAGUGCUCAUGGCGUUGCCUCAUGUAGCUGCCUGCAUAGGCUAGCUUCAUCAAGGCCACCUCAUGGACGCUAUUGGUCUCGGAUGUGGCCCGCUAUAAAGGCUGAAGGCGCUUUGGCACCUCAUGCCUACAAAAUACUGUCCGUUCGGAAACAACGACAGCUGGCCUGGUUCAUGCCUCGUGCAGAGGCCAGUGCU